RNAcentral lists this ribosomal RNA (603 nucleotides) under Listeria monocytogenes. Its description in RNAcentral is "bacterial SSU rRNA". It matches the Rfam family "Bacterial small subunit ribosomal RNA", at positions 940 to 1533 of the family's 1533-position model. The record is from RNAcentral. Lineage: Bacteria; Bacillati; Bacillota; Bacilli; Caryophanales; Listeriaceae.
UGUGGUUUAAUUCGAAGCAACGCGAAGAACCUUACCAAAUCUUGACAUCCUUUGACCGCUCUAGAGAUAGAGUCUUCCCCUUCGGGGGACAAAGUGACAGGUGGUGCAUGGUUGUCGUCAGCUCGUGUCGUGAGAUGUUGGGUUAAGUCCCGCAACGAGCGCAACCCUUAAGCUUAGUUGCCAUCAUUAAGUUGGGCACUCUAAGUUGACUGCCGGUGACAAACCGGAGGAAGGUGGGGAUGACGUCAAAUCAUCAUGCCCCUUAUGAUUUGGGCUACACACGUGCUACAAUGGACAAUACAAAGGGCAGCUAAACCGCGAGGUCAAGCAAAUCCCAUAAAGUUGUUCUCAGUUCGGAUUGUAGUCUGCAACUCGACUACAUGAAGCUGGAAUCGCUAGUAAUCGUAGAUCAGCAUGCUACGGUGAAUACGUUCCCGGGUCUUGUACACACCGCCCGUCACACCACGAGAGUUUGUAACACCCGAAGCCGGUGGAGUAACCAUUUAUGGAGCUAGCCGUCGAAGGUGGGACAAAUGAUUGGGGUGAAGUCGUAACAAGGUAGCCGUAUCGGAAGGUGCGGCUGGAUCACCUCCUUUCUAAGGA